This 5506-nucleotide long non-coding RNA is filed under the name Triticum aestivum (bread wheat). Its description in RNAcentral is "long non-coding RNA (TAES_LNC023848)". Lineage: Eukaryota; Viridiplantae; Streptophyta; Magnoliopsida; Poales; Poaceae. The record is from RNAcentral.
CACACCCGAUCUGCUCGUAAACUGGCCAAAUCCCUCUCCAUGAUUUGUUUAUUGCUCUAGUUAAUUGUCGUCAAGAUCAUGUUAGCUUGUUCUUGGCUUCGAUUCUGUGAGAUUUUUUUGUUUUUUUGCAAUCUGAUUACACAGCAGAUCUUGUUAGCUCUGUAACUUGAUACCUUUACAUGCAUGAAACAAACAGAAAAGCAAAUCCUCCUAUUACGCUGUGAUCCCACCGCUACCUGAUUCCAUUACCAGUCCCGUUACCUUUGGUUGUACCAAACACAUCCUAACAAUAAUCGCCCGAGCUAUGCUCUCCUUGUUGGACAGACGGCUAUUUGUAGUGGUCAUGGUUGGUUGUUCGUCCGUGCAUCGUCUUGAUCUGUUGCCGCAAUCCCUUCCGGACUCCAUGGAUGUUGGUGUAAUUUUUGUGGGUCGGGCUCUCCUGCAGGGUUCCCAGCACGCAUUAUGGUGCAGGGCCAACGGGUGGCCGACACCUGUCCUGGUAGGACCCCACCACUUAAACAACCCAGCGUAUCUCUCUAAUUGCAGUUAGCUCUAAAAAAUCAGCAAAACGACAGGUUUAUCUCCCGCCUAACACCAGAUUGCCGCCAAAAUCUCUUCGUGACUUCAUCCAUCCUUUCUCAUACCAAUCUAUUCCAUUGUUGUUGCCCCCGGAUCAAAGGAGAAUAGAUCAAGAUUGAUAGGAAAUUGUCCUCUCUGUGGAUCAACAUCUACGGUGUUCUUCAGCAUGGACGGAGCUCCUGCCACUUCAUCGUCCGUAGGUAUGUUCUUGCGCCUAUAAUGUACAAAUUGUCAACACACUUGAUCAUACGAAGCUGAUAAGAUUGAAAGAAACAAAUAAACAAAGAGUUGAAUGUAUGACAUGCAAAUUACUCCCAGUACUUCAUCUUUCGUAGCCCUGUUUCUUUGAAACACAUGCAAAUUAAUCCUUCGAAUUGCAUUAUAAUUCUGUUAGUGAUGAUUACUCCUACGAUGUUGCGUAAAUUUUACUGCCUGAGAUUUCUCCUUUGACAUAUUCUCUUUUUGCUGACUCUAAUGAUAUAGAUUACUGUAUCAAAGAAAAAGAUCAAUAUGUUUCUAACGCUCCCGUGAAUACCAUGUGUCGUUUUCCAAAAAGCAUUGUUCUAUCUAUAAGGGCUUUUCAGGUUUCACUAAAACUAGGACUGAAUAUCGUGUUAUCUUUUACUCCAUGCGUCGUCCGUGAACUAAUUAGUAUAUGAUAUUUUUUAUGUUGUGUAGAUCAUGACACCACAGAUGUGGGAGAGGCAGGUCAAAACACUGAUCACGAUUACAGCAAAAGGUUAAAACCAGAGAUAGGAAUGGAAUUUGAGAAUGAUGAUAUAGCAUAUGAGUUUUAUAAUGCAUAUGCAGGACAUGUUGGUUUCAGUGUCCGGAAAUUUUGGCAUGAUAAAUCCUCAACGAAUGUUAUUCGAACAAAGAAAUUUAUAUGCUCAAAGGCAGGUUUCAAGGACAAGAGCAAGGAACAAUGCCAGCGGAAGCGAGCAGAUACAAGAGUUGGGUGUAUGGCAGAGAUGACCAUCAAAAUAAGUGGUAAUGGAAAGUAUGUUGUAAGCAGCUUUGAGGAUGCUCACAAUCAUGAACUCGUAACUCCAAGCAAAGCCCAUCUACUGCGAUCCCAAAGAAGAAUUAAAGAAGCUCAGAAGGCCCAGAUUGACAUAUUGAAUGAUUCAGGUAUUAGACCAAAAUCUGGUCAUGAAGUGAUGAGUAGACAAGCAGGGGGUAGGCGAUGUCUUAGCUUUGGUCAAAAGGAUUAUAAAAAUUAUCUCCGAUCAAAGCGGAUGCAGUCAAUCCAAGAAGGAGACACAGGUGCCAUUCUUCAAUACCUACAGGACAAGCAAAUGGAAAAUCCUUCAUCUUUAUGCUAUACAAGUAGAGGAAGAUGAGAUGAUAACCAAUAUAUUCUGGGCAGAUGCAAGAUCAAUAUUAGAUUAUCACUACUUUGGUGACGUGGUAUGCUUUGACACAACCUUUAAGACAAAUAGUUAUGGCAGACCAUUUGCCCCUUUUGUUGGUGUCAACCAUCAUAAACAAACAGUGGUUUUUGGAGCUGCAUUAUUGUAUGAUGAAACAUCUGAGACGUUUGAAUGGUUGUUUGAAACAUUCAAAAGGGCCAUGUCAGGAAAAGAACCAAAGACAAUAUUGACCGAUCAGUGUGCUGCCAUUAUUAGUGCCAUUGGCAAGGUUUUUACUAACUCAACACAUCGUCUAUGUGUGUGGCACAUGUAUCAGAACGCUGCAAAACAUUUGAGUCAUGUUUUCCAAGGUUCCAAGACAUUUAAGAAAGAUUUUGGCAAGUGUGUUUAUGGUUUUGAAGAAGUUGAUGAAUUCCUAACAGGUUGGAAUGAUAUGCUAGUGAAAUAUAAUUUGGAAGAUAAUGACUGGCUACAUAGAUUAUUCCAGAACAAAGAGAAGUGGGCUUUGGUUUAUGGUCGACAAACCUUUUGUGCAGAUAUGAUAUCCACACAAAGAAGCGAGAGUAUCAAUGCACUAUUGAAACGAUACCUGCAUGUUCGCCUUGAUUUAUUAGAUUUCUUCAAGCACUAUGAGAGGGCUGUGGAUGAUAGAAGGUAUGCUGAAGUGGAAAGUGAUUUCUAUGCGAGUCAAACAUCACCAAAGGUGCCUUAUGUGCCGAUGCUUACACAAACAUCGAAAGUAUAUACACCUGCUAUGUUUGAGACAUUUAAAGGAGAAUUUGACAUGGUAAUGGGAUAUUGUGUGUACGAGAGUGGUCGUACUAGCUCUAUUUCUGAAUUCAAGGUUACCCAUUCAGCUAGCCAAAAUAGUCAUACUGUGAAAUUUGAUCCCAAUGGAUCAAAAGUUUCAUGCUCAUGCAAAAAGUUUGAAUUUGUUGGAGUAUUGUGUCGUCAUGCAUUAAAGGUGUUGGACCACAACAAUAUAAAGGAGUUGGCACCAGAAUAUAUCUUGAAAAGAUGGACAAGGCGAGCAAAAUCAGGGCCCUCACAGGCAAUUCAAAAGUAUAGUGAUGAUGAAGAUAUAAGAGUUAUGCUAGCUAGGCAGUAUGGAUCAUUAUGUCGCACUUACAAUAACAUUUUGAGCAAAGCAGCAGCAAACAAAGAAGCAUAUGCACUACUGCAGACUAUGUCAAUUGAACUAAUGGAAAAGGUGGACCAAAUUUUACAUGGAAAUCAAUCAAAAGAUAUAUCACCGAAUCAUGAACAAGCAGAGAAGCAACCAGUUGAAUGCAACAUCGAGAAUGUAGUCACAGAGAAGCAACCAGUUGAAUGCAACCUUGAGAAUGUAGUCACAGUACAGGGAAUAAAGAGAAAAGAACAAGGAAAUAGCAACAAGAGGAUUAAAUCUGGACUGGAGCUGAAUAAUAAGAAUAAACGUAAUAAGAAAGGUAUGGUAUUCCACAAGAAAUAGCUACAUAAAUAUCUGCUCAUGUUAUUGAAAUAGAUCUAACAUUUUUUUGCAAAUAGGUCAAGGAACAACAUGCAAGAAUAAGAGUGGUGAUUGUGCUUCUGCAUCAUCUAGACCAAAUCCUAGCUUCAACAUAUCAAACGAGAACUAUAAUUUGCAAGUAGUACAGCAUGCUAUGCCUCCACUACCGAAUGCUGCCAAUUACAAUUUGCAAGUAUUGCAGCAUGCUAUGCCUCCACUACCAAAUGUUGCGAACUAUAAUCCGCAAGUAUUUCCGCCCGCUAUGCCUUCGGUACCACAAGUUGUUUUCCCAUUACCACAUGCACAUAAUUAUAAUUUGCAUGUACUGCCGGGUACUAUGACAUCAGUACCAGGACCUGAGAACUAUAAUUUGCAAGUAUUACAUCAUGGCUUGCCUGCUCCGCUAUCGCAGACAGACACUACUAGUUUUCAACAGUUACUUGGCUUGCGACCACAACCACCAUAUUUCUAUCAUAGCAUUCAACCGAGUCAGGUAUAUUUAUUCAGUUAAUAGUUAAAAUUAAGACAAGCAUGCACGGGUCAUUUACUUUUUGAUUAACACUACAUGUUGACUUCUGUGGUGUCAUCGGACUUGGGAUGGCCAACAUCUCAUAAUCACCAGCCGCCAACUAGCACUCAACCAAGUCAGGUAGAAUUUUAUUAGUUAAUCGCUAGAAAUUAAAAUGAACAUGCACAUAUCAUUCCCUUGUAUUGACUUUUGAAUCAACAUUGUAUCUAGAGUUCCCAAAUGUUAUCAGACUCAGGAUGGCCAACAUCUCAAAAAUGACCAGCUGCCAAUUCAGGUAUUGUUCACUUACAAGUCAUAUUCCCAAUUGAAGUUUAUAUCUCAUAAGAAAUCAUUGCUUUGUUCUUCCAGGUCUUGGGUAGCCAAUCAAGUCACAUACAAGAUAAACACUUUUAAAUAGCUCUAUGUAAACUUUGUAUCUCAGGAUUGCUCUACAAGACAGUUCUCUUGAGAUGUAAUAAUUUAUCUUACCAUUCCUUUUAAUGUUAGAUGCACAACGGUUUAUGCUCAAAUAAAAAUAUAUACAUGAAUAUGAAUUAGUUGUUGGUUAUUCCUUAUGAUAUGUUAGACAUGUAACUGAGGUUUAGUUUUCCAGUUAAAUGUGGUCUUAUAGGCACUAAAUUCAUUAAAAGGUGCUUUCACCAAUUUGUGAUUUCCCCUGUACUGUAUGACUGAAAAGCAGAGGAGAGUAGAUAGCUUGCAUACUUCAGAGUUCAGUACAUAGCUAGCUACUAGUACAGAGCUAGUACAUUGCUACUAGUAAUAGCUUGCGUACGUAUAUAGCUGAGAGGUAAUUACGUACUAGCACAAAGGUAGAUGAAGCAGCGAAUCAUCUCUCACCUUUGCUUGUUGAGUUUGCAUCGAGUUCGCAUCUUCCACUGUGACGGCGCGACCUCCCGCGGAAUCUCAGCCACCGGCUGCACGCGCUGCAGUUCCACCGUGCCACCACCUCACAGGGAGCGGGUCAGCCACAACCUUGGGCUGGCCUUGGGUGUGCCGGAGGCGAGCGACACUAGCCGCGACGGCCCCGUUUUGCUGCCGGCCAAGUCCACGGCCGGGCGUGGCGCAGCGCGCCUUAGGCGAGCAGAGCUAGCCGCGACGGAUCCCAUCUUGCCUCCAGCCAAGACAACGGCUCCAGGCCGCGCAGCAUGCCGGAGGUGAGCGACGGCGAUUCCUGUCUUACUGCCUUCGAACCCCGUGGCUCCUGGCGGCGAAUCGCGCCGGAGACGGGUGGCGCUAGCCGUGACAGCUCCGGGCGGCGAAGCGCAUCAGAGACGGACGGCGCUAUACAGCUCCUGUCUUGCCGCCGGCGACGGACCUGAACGGUGGAUUUCUCGGUCGGAAUCCUCCCUCACAGUGGAAUGAGUGGCUGUGGAAGAGGGAGUGGCAGCAGCGGUACGCCGGGAUAAGGCAAAGAAAAACUGGUUUCAGUAAAUUAAGAAAAGAAAAACGUUUUAUUAAGUGGUGGGGUCCUAUCAGGACAGGUGUCGGCCACCCGUUGGCCCUGCACGAUAAUGCGUGCUGGGAACCCUGCAGGAG